GCCUGAGUAGCUCAGUUGGUAGAGCAUGCGACUGAAAAUCGCAGUGUCGGUGGUUCGAUCCCGCCCUCAGGCACCA
RNAcentral lists this transfer RNA (76 nucleotides) under Formicincola oecophyllae. RNAcentral's name for it is "Swingsia sp. F3b2 tRNA-Phe". It matches the Rfam family "tRNA". Rfam says of the family: Transfer RNA (tRNA) molecules are approximately 80 nucleotides in length. Their secondary structure includes four short double-helical elements and three loops (D, anti-codon, and T loops). Lineage: Bacteria; Pseudomonadati; Pseudomonadota; Alphaproteobacteria; Acetobacterales; Acetobacteraceae. The record is from RNAcentral.